This 24-nucleotide microRNA is filed under the name Brachionus plicatilis. Its description in RNAcentral is "Bpl-Mir-1175_3p (mature (guide))". RNAcentral also lists the same sequence under 1 other name. The record is from RNAcentral. Lineage: Eukaryota; Metazoa; Rotifera; Eurotatoria; Ploima; Brachionidae.
UGAGAUUCAACUAACUUCACUUGA